This 185-nucleotide microRNA precursor is filed under the name Paramuricea clavata. Lineage: Eukaryota; Metazoa; Cnidaria; Anthozoa; Malacalcyonacea; Plexauridae. The record is from RNAcentral.
UCUUGUUGAUAUUAUCAGGCAUGUUGCAAGGUUGUUCCAACAAGUCCGAUACAUUCAUGAUAUAACAAAUUAACAAUGUUGUUACAACUUUGUGUCGUCAACCUUGUAACAUUCUUGUUAUAUCAUGACUGUAUCAGACUUGUUAGAACACUGACCUUGUAACAAGUCUGAUAAUGCCAUCAAGC